This 24-nucleotide small nuclear RNA is filed under the name Arabidopsis thaliana (thale cress). RNAcentral's name for it is "snRNA_02319". Lineage: Eukaryota; Viridiplantae; Streptophyta; Magnoliopsida; Brassicales; Brassicaceae. The record is from RNAcentral.
AUACUGUCAUAAUCUGGUAUAAAU